CAAGUCGCACGAGAAAGGGAGCAAUCCUGAGUAAAGUGGCGUACGGGUGAGUAACACGUGGCAUUAUCUACCUUCUAGUGGGGAAUACCUCUGGGAAACCGGAGACAAUACCGCAUAAGCUCGUAAGAGGAAAGCAGCAAUGCGCUGGAAGAGGAGUCCGCGGCUGAUUAGCUAGUUGGCGGGGUAAUGGCCCACCAAGGCGAAGAUCGGUAGCCGGCCUGAGAGGGCUCACGGCCACACUGGCACUGAAACACGGGCCAGACUCCUACGGGAGGCAGCAGUGGGGAAUCUUGCACAAUGGAGGCAACUCUGAUGCAGCGACGCCGCGUGAGCGAUGAAGCCCUUCGGGGUGUAAAGCUCUUUCGACGGGAACGAUAAUGACGGUACCCGAAGAAGAAGCUGCGGCUAACUACGUGCCAGCAGCCGCGGUAAUACGUAGGCAGCGAGCGUUGUUCGGAAUUACUGGGCGUAAAGAGUGUGUAGGCGGUGUCCCAAGUCUGGUGUGAAAUCUCCUGGCUCAACUGGGAGGGUGCGCCGGAAACUGGGGUGCUAGAGGGUGGGAGAGGUAAGCGGAAUUCCUGGUGUAUCGGUGAAAUGCGUACAUAUCACGAGGAACACCUGUGGUGUACACAGCUUACUGGACCACUUCUGACGCUGAGACAC
Molecule: ribosomal RNA, 663 nt
Filed under: uncultured Bacillota bacterium
Lineage: Bacteria; Bacillati; Bacillota
Description: bacterial SSU rRNA
Rfam family: Bacterial small subunit ribosomal RNA
Source: RNAcentral